GACGAACGCUGGCGGCGUGCUUAACACAUGCAAGUCGAACGGAGUGGCGAACGGGUGUGUAAUACGUAGGUAACCUGCCCUCCUUUUUAGGAUAGGCCUUGGAAACUGAUUCUAAUACCGGAUGAAGGGGGAUGGGCUCGCGGCCGAUCAGCUUGUUGGUGGGGUGAUGGACUACCAAGGCGGUGCCGGGUAGCCGGGCUGAGAGGGGGACCGGGCACAUUGGGACUGAGAUGCGGCCCAGAUGACGAAGGGAGGGAGAAGUGGGGGAUAUUGCCCAAUGGGUGAAAGCCGGAUGCAGCGACGCCGCGUGGGGGAUGAAGGUUUUCGGGUUGUAAACCUGUUUCGCUAGCGAACGGGUAGGUGGAGAAGAAGCGCCGGCUAACUACGUGCCAGCAGCCGCGGUAAUUC
This 408-nucleotide ribosomal RNA is filed under the name uncultured bacterium. RNAcentral describes it as "partial 16S ribosomal RNA". It matches the Rfam family "Bacterial small subunit ribosomal RNA", at positions 28 to 526 of the family's 1533-position model. The record is from RNAcentral.